Molecule: ribosomal RNA, 497 nt
Filed under: uncultured bacterium
Lineage: Bacteria
Description: partial 16S ribosomal RNA
Rfam family: Bacterial small subunit ribosomal RNA
Source: RNAcentral
GAUGAACGCUGGCGGCGUGCCUAAUACAUGCAAGUCGAGCGAACGGACGAUGAGCUUGCUUCUCUGAUGUUAGCGGCGGACGGGUGAGUAACACGUGGAUAAUCUCCUUAUCAGUCUGGGAUAACUUCGGGACACGGGCGCAAAUACCGGAUAAUCUUUUGAUCCGCGUGGUUGAAAGGUGAAUGACGGUCUUGCUGUCACUACUCGCUGGUUACGCGCUGCUUUAGGUAGUUGGGGAGGUAAAGGCGUUCCACGGGAACGAUGCAUGGCCGAAGUGAGGGGCUGAUCGGCGACACUGGAACGGAGCCACGGUCCAGACGCCUAAGGGAGGCAGCAGUAUGGAACCGUCCGCAAUAGUCGAGAGCCUGACGGAGCAGCGCCGCGUGAGUGAUGAAGGUCUUCGGUUCGUAAAACUCUGUUAUGAGGGAAAAACAUAUUUGUAAGGAGCUGUACACUUCGUGACGGUACCUAAUCAGAAAGCCACGGCUAACUACGUG